UCAGACAUGGUGUAGCGGUAACAUGGCCUAUUCGAUUAAGCGAGUCAUUUAAGCUUAUGGGGCCGUCCCGGGUUCGAACCCCGGUGUCUGAG
Mycena epipterygia is the source of this 92-nucleotide non-coding RNA. NCBI's taxonomy places the organism in Eukaryota, Fungi, Basidiomycota, Agaricomycetes, Agaricales, Mycenaceae. The record is from the annotation of a GenBank genome assembly.